AUACGUAGGGGGCGAGCGUUGUCCGGAAUGAUUGGGCGUAAAGGGCGCGUAGGCGGCGCGGUAAGUCUGGAGUGAAAGUCCUGCUUUCAAGGUGGGAAUUGCUUUGGAUACUGCCGCGCUUGAGUGCGGGAGAGGUUAUCGGAAUUCCCGGUGUAGCGGUGAAAUGCGUAGAGAUCGGGAGGAACACCAGUGGCGAAGGCGGGUAACUGGACUGCAACUGACGCUGAGGCGCGAAAGUGUGGGGAGCAAACAGGAUUAGAUACCCUGGUAGUCCACACUGUAAACGAUGAAUGCUAGGUGUAAGAGGUAUCGACCCCUUUUGUGCCGGAGUCAACACAAUAAGCAUUCCGCCUGGGGAGUACGGCCGCAAGGUUGAAACUCAAAUGAAUUGACGGGG
Molecule: ribosomal RNA, 397 nt
Filed under: uncultured bacterium
Lineage: Bacteria
Description: partial 16S ribosomal RNA
Rfam family: Bacterial small subunit ribosomal RNA
Source: RNAcentral